This 115-nucleotide ribosomal RNA is filed under the name Danio rerio (zebrafish). The record is from RNAcentral. Lineage: Eukaryota; Metazoa; Chordata; Actinopteri; Cypriniformes; Danionidae.
GCCGGCAACUAGCUUUCUGCAACUCUCACAUGGUCGCCCACUGAAGCCAAGCAGGGUUGCGCUCGGUCAGUACCUGGAUGGGAGACCACAUGGGAAAGCUAGGUUGCUGCCGGAA